This 440-nucleotide ribosomal RNA is filed under the name uncultured bacterium. RNAcentral's name for it is "partial 16S ribosomal RNA". It matches the Rfam family "Bacterial small subunit ribosomal RNA", at positions 338 to 795 of the family's 1533-position model. The record is from RNAcentral.
CCUACGGGGGGCAGCAGUAGGGAAUAUUGCUCAAUGGGGGAAACCCUGAAGCAGCAACGCCGCGUGGAGGAUGAAGGUUUUCGGAUUGUAAACUCCUUUUGUUAGAGAAGAUAAUGACGGUAUCUAACGAAUAAGCACCGGCUAACUACGUGCCAGCAGCCGCGGUAAUACGGAGGGUGCAAGCGUUACUCGGAAUCACUGGGCGUAAAGAGCGCGUAGGCGGGAUAGCAAGUCAGAUGUGAAAUCCUAUGGCCUAACCAUAGAACUGCAUUUGAAACUGUUAGUCUAGAGUAGGGGAGAGGUAGGUGGAAUGCUUGGUGUAGGGGUAAAAUCCGUAGAGAUCGAGAGGAAUACUCAUUGCGAAGGCGACCUGCUAGAACAUAACUGACGCUGAUGCGCGAAAGCGUGGGGAUCAAACAGGAUUAGAUACCCGGGUAGUC